UUGUAAUACCCGGCUAGAUUCAGACAUCGGAAUUCCUACCGUCCGGGGGAGUUCGAGGAUGUCAGAGGUCUCUGGAAGGGUAAGAGAAAGUUUUCUAAAAUAUUUUCAAGUGUUUUAAAGGUUUAGUGUAGAAAAGGAUUGAGUUUUGAAGAGAUAUGGCCAAGGAGGCAUUUUGCCAUGUUCGGCCCCCUAAGGUUAAGUUCGGCCCCCGAAGGUUGCAUGGUUUUGCAUGCGAUUCGGCAGCCGAACCUGAGGCGGUUGCUCAUCUAUAAGGGCACCGAGUGGCAGAAAAAGGAGGAGGUUUCUUCUCUCCUUCUGACCUAGGUGAGGUCUUGAUCUCCUUAAAGUAUUUUCAUGGUUUUUCUUCAAAUCUUUCACGGUUUUAAUGAGUUUUACCCUUGUUUUGAAGAGUUGUGAGCUUGAAACAAGGUUUUGGAGUUUGAAGCUUUUGAAGCUUGGUUUCUCCAUAUCUUUGAGUUUGGAUCAUCUCAGCCUUUGUUCUUCAAGAGGUAAGUGUUGAUCCAUGGUUCUUAUGAUGUUUUUAUGAGUUUUGUAAAGG
Molecule: long non-coding RNA, 559 nt
Filed under: Manihot esculenta (cassava)
Lineage: Eukaryota; Viridiplantae; Streptophyta; Magnoliopsida; Malpighiales; Euphorbiaceae
Description: long non-coding RNA (MESC_LNC007446)
Source: RNAcentral